RNAcentral lists this ribosomal RNA (253 nucleotides) under uncultured bacterium. RNAcentral's name for it is "partial 16S ribosomal RNA". It matches the Rfam family "Bacterial small subunit ribosomal RNA", at positions 524 to 776 of the family's 1533-position model. The record is from RNAcentral.
UACGUAGGGACCGAGCGUUGUCCGGAUUUAUUGGGCGUAAAGCGCGCGUAGGCGGCCGAUCGCGUCGGAUGUGAAAGCUCGGAGCUCAACUCUGAGAGGUCAUUCGAUACGGGUCGGCUAGAGGCAGGUAGGGGAGAUCGGAAUUCCUGGUGUAGCGGUGAAAUGCGCAGAUAUCAGGAGGAACACCGGUGGCGAAGGCGGAUCUCUGGGCCUGUUCUGACGCUGAGGCGCGAAAGCUGGGGGAGCAAACAGG